This 918-nucleotide long non-coding RNA is filed under the name Musa acuminata (dwarf banana). Its description in RNAcentral is "long non-coding RNA (MACU_LNC000895)". The record is from RNAcentral. Lineage: Eukaryota; Viridiplantae; Streptophyta; Magnoliopsida; Zingiberales; Musaceae.
AUCUGUUUCUACGAGGGAGCGAUCUGCGAGGUUUAGGCCGUCUGUGAAGCGAUCUACGAGGCUGAACUCCAUCGAUUAGAUUGUCACUUCUCGAGGUAGGUCUCCUCCACGUUGUGAUUCUACGAUUCGACUCGAAACUUUUUUUUUUUUUGUGCUUUAUAGCUGUGAUCUUUGCUUCAUUGUUUGGAGAAACUGCGCUCUUGUUUCGGACGAAACGUCGAACACUUCCCGCGCAUAAGCUUCUUCUCGUUGUUGCUGUCAAGAAACAGAUCGAAACCCAUAUAGGAGCGAUCAACAUUACGUUGCAAGCUUAACCUUAGUGUAGAUGAUACGAUUGACAUGCUAGAAUAGCAAGGUAACUCGGUUAGAUCAAACAGUUUCAUGUCGACAUGCGGCCAUGAGUACCUCCAAACUUGGCAACGCAUGUGAUUCUUUUGUCCAUUCCUAUCAAUUUCCAUCGUGCACAUGCAGGUUGGAACAUCUUGGCGGCAACGCGAAACUUGCUGUCUCGAUGUCAGCAGACAUCCCCAAGUGUUCGCCAUGUCCGUGAAAAGCGCCGUGGAAGGUGCCAAGGAAACAUAUCAACCAACCAAAGGGCAUGGCCUUACCCUUCCUCUCUUUUCCGACGCAUAAGGACCUCAUAUAGGAGGACCAGGCUCGCUUGUCUUAUUUCAACUCUUUGGUUCUCCCACUGGUUUCCUUGGGGUGGAAGCAUACAGUUUGACCUUAUGGAGUAUAGAUGGUGAAGGCUUUUGUGUCGUCUACAGUCAGAUCUGCUUGCCUGUUGCUGUCUAAUAGUGUAUUCAUUCUGUAUGCUGGUUAGAUAGUCCAUUUUGUCAGGCCAUAGAUUUCAGUCCCCAUUCAAACUUCUCGAGUAUCCAAGACAUGAUCUGAUCAAUACUCUGUCGAUUAUUUGUG